UGUGUAGGCGGCUGCGCAAGUCGGAUGUGAAAGCCCCGGGCUCAACCCGGGAAGUGCACCCGAAACUGCGUAGCUCGAGUACCGGAGAGGUUGGUGGAAUUCUGGUGUAGAGGUGAAAUUCGUAGAUAUCGAGAGGAACACCGGUGGCGAAGGCGGCCAACUGGACGAGUACUGACGCUGAGACACGAAAGCGUGGGGAGCAAACAGGAUUAGAUACCCUGGUAGUCCACGCCGUAAACGAUGGGUGCUAGGUGUCACGGGCUUUGACUCCUGUGGUGCCGUAGCCAACGCAUUAAGCACCCCGCCUGGGAAGUACGGCCGCAAGGCUAAA
RNAcentral lists this ribosomal RNA (331 nucleotides) under uncultured bacterium. Its description in RNAcentral is "bacterial SSU rRNA". It matches the Rfam family "Bacterial small subunit ribosomal RNA", at positions 568 to 898 of the family's 1533-position model. The record is from RNAcentral.